UGGUAAGUAGUUUAAACAAAACAAAUGAUUUCGACUCAUUAAAUUAUGAUAGCCAUACUAACCAA
RNAcentral lists this transfer RNA (65 nucleotides) under Papio anubis (olive baboon). RNAcentral's name for it is "tRNA-Arg". It matches the Rfam family "tRNA". From Rfam's summary of the family: Transfer RNA (tRNA) molecules are approximately 80 nucleotides in length. Their secondary structure includes four short double-helical elements and three loops (D, anti-codon, and T loops). Lineage: Eukaryota; Metazoa; Chordata; Mammalia; Primates; Cercopithecidae. The record is from RNAcentral. RNAcentral also lists the same sequence under 5 other names.